Molecule: ribosomal RNA, 1016 nt
Filed under: Acinetobacter lwoffii
Lineage: Bacteria; Pseudomonadati; Pseudomonadota; Gammaproteobacteria; Moraxellales; Moraxellaceae
Description: bacterial SSU rRNA
Rfam family: Bacterial small subunit ribosomal RNA
Source: RNAcentral
UGCAAGUCGAGCGGGGAAAGGUAGCUUGCUACCUGACCUAGCGGCGGACGGGUGAGUAAUGCUUAGGAAUCUGCCUAUUAGUGGGGGACAACAUCUCGAAAGGGAUGCUAAUACCGCAUACGUCCUACGGGAGAAAGCAGGGGACCUUCGGGCCUUGCGCUAAUAGAUGAGCCUAAGUCGGAUUAGCUAGUUGGUGGGGUAAAGGCCUACCAAGGCGACGAUCUGUAGCGGGUCUGAGAGGAUGAUCCGCCACACUGGGACUGAGACACGGCCCAGACUCCUACGGGAGGCAGCAGUGGGGAAUAUUGGACAAUGGGGGGAACCCUGAUCCAGCCAUGCCGCGUGUGUGAAGAAGGCCUUUUGGUUGUAAAGCACUUUAAGCGAGGAGGAGGCUACCGAGAUUAAUACUCUUGGAUAGUGGACGUUACUCGCAGAAUAAGCACCGGCUAACUCUGUGCCAGCAGCCGCGGUAAUACAGAGGGUGCAAGCGUUAAUCGGAUUUACUGGGCGUAAAGCGCGCGUAGGUGGCCAAUUAAGUCAAAUGUGAAAUCCCCGAGCUUAACUUGGGAAUUGCAUUCGAUACUGGUUGGCUAGAGUAUGGGAGAGGAUGGUAGAAUUCCAGGUGUAGCGGUGAAAUGCGUAGAGAUCUGGAGGAAUACCGAUGGCGAAGGCAGCCAUCUGGCCUAAUACUGACACUGAGGUGCGAAAGCAUGGGGAGCAAACAGGAUUAGAUACCCUGGUAGUCCAUGCCGUAAACGAUGUCUACUAGCCGUUGGGGCCUUUGAGGCUUUAGUGGCGCAGCUAACGCGAUAAGUAGACCGCCUGGGGAGUACGGUCGCAAGACUAAAACUCAAAUGAAUUGACGGGGGCCCGCACAAGCGGUGGAGCAUGUGGUUUAAUUCGAUGCAACGCGAAGAACCUUACCUGGUCUUGACAUAGUAAGAACUUUCCAGAGAUGGAUUGGUGCCUUCGGGAACUUACAUACAGGUGCUGCAUGGCUGUCGUCAGCUCGUGUC